AUUCCUCGAAGAGUCUAUUACCUAGUAACUGGUAGUAUUCUUGUUAGUUUGCAGUUUGUUACUUUUGUCCAAUACCCGACAAGAACAACCUUUGUUUCCCCAGUGGAUUCGUUUUCAUGUUUUCUUCGAGUCUAUCCUUGAUAAGUUCACUUUAACCCGUGACAAAUAUUCUCUCUCUUUGGUUUUCUACCCAGUAAAAAGGUA
RNAcentral lists this long non-coding RNA (204 nucleotides) under Lathyrus oleraceus (garden pea). RNAcentral's name for it is "Pisum sativum (pea) long non-coding RNA (PSAT_LNC006259)". The record is from RNAcentral. Lineage: Eukaryota; Viridiplantae; Streptophyta; Magnoliopsida; Fabales; Fabaceae.